RNAcentral lists this ribosomal RNA (274 nucleotides) under uncultured bacterium. RNAcentral describes it as "partial 16S ribosomal RNA". It matches the Rfam family "Bacterial small subunit ribosomal RNA", at positions 523 to 796 of the family's 1533-position model. The record is from RNAcentral.
AUACGGAGGGUGCAAGCGUUAAUCGGAAUUACUGGGCGUAAAGCGCGCGUAGGCGGCUUGAUAAGUCGGAUGUGAAAUCCCCGGGCUUAACCUGGGAAUUGCAUUCGAUACUGUCAGGCUAGAGUGUGGUAGAGGGAAGUGGAAUUUCCGGUGUAGCGGUGAAAUGCGUAGAUAUCGGAAAGAACAUCAGUGGCGAAGGCGGCUUCCUGGAUCAACACUGACGCUGAGGUGCGAAAGCGUGGGGAGCAAACAGGAUUAGAAACCCUAGUAGUCC